Molecule: long non-coding RNA, 451 nt
Filed under: Chinchilla lanigera (long-tailed chinchilla)
Lineage: Eukaryota; Metazoa; Chordata; Mammalia; Rodentia; Chinchillidae
Description: lncRNA (ENSCLAG00000022961.1)
Source: RNAcentral
CUUCGCCCAAGAUAUGUCUCCUAUCUGUGGUUCCAAGGCCAAGGGAGUUUUCCCCUGAUGCCAAAGAGCCUACCUGUCAAGUGUAUUUUUGACCAACUCCUGUCUGGACCUCAAGACAUCGCUGAAAGCUGAUAAACUGGGCAGUCAUUACGAUGAAGCCAGGCUUGUUUCAGAAUUCCAUGAGAACCACAGUGUCAGGCCUGACUCCGGGGCUGGAAAUGGAAAAGGCUGUGAUCCAGGGCUGGCUGGCACCAUCCCCAUGAGUCAUUAUGGAAACACUGUCCCCGGAUGCUGCUGAGCAGGCCGGGUUGCUGGUGAGUCCAUCUGUCAGAUGAAAUCUUGACCCCCUGACAUCUUAAAAUGUUCCAUAAAAUGUGGGACGUUGGGCUUUCUGUCUGGUAUCCUGCUUGCAUUAAAAAUUGGGUUGUUUUAUUCUAUUUUUGGUUCCCCU